Molecule: ribosomal RNA, 444 nt
Filed under: uncultured bacterium
Lineage: Bacteria
Description: partial 16S ribosomal RNA
Rfam family: Bacterial small subunit ribosomal RNA
Source: RNAcentral
GUAGGGAAUAUUGGGCAAUGGUCGGAAGACUGACCCAGCCAUGCCGCGUGCAGGAAGACGGCCCUCUGGGUUGUAAACUGCUUUUAUCUGGGAAGAAAAAGGCCAUGCGUGGCAAAUUGCCGGUACCAGAUGAAUAAGCACCGGCUAACUCCGUGCCAGCAGCCGCGGUAAUACGGAGGGUGCAAGCGUUGUCCGGAUUUAUUGGGUUUAAAGGGUGCGUAGGCGGCUGAUUAAGUCAGCGGUGAAAGACUCCGGCUUAACCGGAGCAGUGCAGUUGAUACUGGUUAGCUUGAGUGUUGGAGGGGUACAUGGAAUUGAUGGUGUAGCGGUGAAAUGCAUAGAUACCAUCAGGAACACCGAUAGCGAAGGCAUUGUACUGGCCAACAACUGACGCUGAUGCACGAAAGUGUGGGGAUCGAACAGGAUUAGAUACCCCUGUAGUCC